Molecule: ribosomal RNA, 1408 nt
Filed under: Candidatus Altimarinota bacterium
Lineage: Bacteria; Candidatus Altimarinota
Description: partial 23S ribosomal RNA
Rfam family: Bacterial large subunit ribosomal RNA
Source: RNAcentral
UGAAAAAGAAAGUAAAGCAUAUAACGGAUGCCUUGACUUAGAGUUCCGAUGAAGGACGUGGGAAACUGCGAUAAGCCUCGACGAGUUGUUAACAAGCGUUGACUCGGGGAUUUCCGAAUGGGGAAACCCGCAUAGAUUCAUAUUUAUGCAUUCAUACCUGAACACAUAGGGUAUGUAAAGGAUACUCGGAGAACUGAAACAUCUCAGUACCCGAGGAAAAGAAAUCAAUCGAGAUUCCCUUAGUAGUGGCGAACGAACGGGGAGAAGCCCAAACCGUCUUUAUGGCGGGGUUGUAGGACUCCAAUGUGACGACUUUUUAUAUAGACGAAAAAAGCUGGAAAGCUUUGCCGAAGAAGGUGAUAGCCCUGUAGUUGAAAUAUAGAAAUAGUCUAGGAUGAUCCUGAGUAAGGUCGGACACGUGUAAUCUGGCCCGAAGCAGGGGGGACCACCCUCCAAGGCUAAACAGACUCUAAGAUCGAUAGUGAACUAGUACCGUGAGGGAAAGGUGAAAAGAACCCCGGGAGGGGAGUGAAAUAGAACCUGAAAUUAUAUGCUUAUAAAGAGUCGGAGCUUCACGCUUGCGUGUUGUGACGGCGUGCUUUUUGUAGAACGAAUGAGCGAGUUAGUUGUAUGUGGCAAGGAUAAGUCAGUAAUAGACGAAUCCGUAGCGAAAGCGAGUCUUAAUAGGGCGACGAAGUCGCAUGCACUAGACCCGAAACUAGGUGAGCUAUCCAUGGUCAGGCUGAAGCGGUGGUAAGACAUCGUGGAGGGCCGCACACGGACGUGUUGCAAGACGUCGUGAUGAACUGUGGAUAGGGGUGAAAAGCCAAUCGAACCUAGAGAUAUCUGGUUCUCUCCGAAAUAGCUUUAGGGCUAGCCUUGAGCGUUAAAUUGUGGGGGUAGAGCACUGUCAAGACUAGGGCUUCCCAAAAGAGGUACCAACUCUUAACAAACUUCGAAUACCACAAUGUAUUUCUCAGGAGUCAGACUGUGACAGCUAAGUGCCAUAGUCGAAAGGGAAACAGCCCAGAUCGCCAUCUAAGGUCCCUAAUAGAAUUUAAGUGGGAAAGGAUGUGAGAGUGUUAAAACAACCAGGAGGUUGGCUUAGAAGCAGCCAUUCCUUUAAAGAGUGCGUAAUAGCUCACUGGUCGAACGCUCUUGCGCCGAAAAUGUAACGGGGCUAAAUUUCUAACCGAAGAUGCGGAUUGUAUGAUUUAUCAUACAGUGGUAGGAGAGCGUUGUAUUCAGCGUUGAAGUCGAACUGCGAGGUUCGGUGGAGUGGAUACAAGCGAAAAUGCUCAUAUGAGUAAGUUAAAUAAAUGUGAAAACCAUUUACACCGUAAGACCAAGGUUUCCCACGCAACGACAAUCGACGUGGGGUUAGUCGGUCCUAAGACGAGGUCGAAAG